Lingula anatina is the source of this 499-nucleotide long non-coding RNA. Lineage: Eukaryota; Metazoa; Brachiopoda; Lingulata; Lingulida; Lingulidae. The record is from RefSeq and is a predicted model, not a curated record.
UAAUACGUUAAGGCUUCAGUAUUUUCUGUUUCAGAUUACGUAUCUUGGCGACACACGGGAAAGGGAACAUGGUUUGUUCAAUCCAUUGUCGAUACAUUUUAUCGUGAAGCACACAAAUAUGACGUUUUACAAAUGUUGGUGAAUGUCAAUCACGCGAUCUCUCAAAAGCAAACAAUAGAGGGCAACAAACAGGCACCAGAGAUAGUUACCAGCUUACGAAAGAAAGUUUUCUUCAACAUAUCUCCAGGUAAGCAAAAAGAGUCGCAUCUUCCCGAGGUGUAUUCGGCCGAAUAAUAAAGACUCGAGAUCAAAAGUAAGCAAAAACAACGAACCUGGAACGUGUUAAGGUGAAGAAGAGUCAGUCCAAGACCAAAACUAAAGACAACUGUCGAUGGUUUCAUGCACAGAGAGCCCGCAAACGAAGUACACACACUGGACAAUAGAAGUGUCACCCCCUAAAUCAGAGUAAUAAAAGUAGGCAGAUCUUCGGUACUUAUAA